Molecule: long non-coding RNA, 1072 nt
Organism: Schistocerca gregaria
Lineage: Eukaryota; Metazoa; Arthropoda; Insecta; Orthoptera; Acrididae
Exons: 3
Source: RefSeq, a predicted model, not a curated record
UGAGAGAAGACGAAAUAAUGCUCAGAUCUUUGAUAACAUUUGGUUUGGGCGUGUACACCGGUUUGUACAUAAGUCAAAAUUACGAGGUAAUGCCUUAAAGGAAAGGAGAGGGGGAGAAGACUGAAUUGCAGAGCAAACAUUUCUUGCCAACAGAAAGUUCACCUGCAGCCCAGGUCCUCCAAACACUUAGGAGAUUAUAUAUAUAUAUAUAUAUAUAUGUAUUAACAGUUAUCUUUUAGUUAUGUGUUUUAAUAUUAUAUACAAAUUAAGGAUAAAUAUACACAAUUUUUACACAUUCAUGAGUGUUUAUGCAAGAUGUAUUCCUCCUCCUGAAUAUUCCAUCCGUAAUUGAGGUUCCACAAAAGCUAGCCAGUCAGAAGCAUGAGAUGGUAGCAGUCCCAUUGAGUGACACUUGUAAAGUGCCAGAGCAACACUUACUAUGUUUCCAAGUAGGUAUGCAAAUUUUUGCACCACUGCAUGGUCACCUUCAAUCAUUUUGAAUGCUGGCAAAAGAAAACAAGUUUAGUUCUUUGAUGAACAUGAAAUUUUGAUAUCUUAACUUUAAAAUGAUGGCAAAUGGCUCACUGUGUAAUGAUGUGGGCCAUUAAAGUAAAGAAUGAUCAUUUAAUCACAUGCACUCCAGCUGCAAUCUACUGAAUUGUUUUCAGAGAAAACUGGAGCUCUUAUGUUCCUCAUUUUUACAAAACUGCCUCUUUCACUGCAGACUAAUCAAACAAUAAGUUAUCAACUUGUUUAGUGUGUAACAAAAUUAUCUUACUGUAUAUCAUAAAUAUUGUGAUGACUAAUUUUAUUACAGUAAACUAAUUUGUACAUGAAUAUUGGAAACAUGAAUGUAAACAUUAAAUAUAUAUUUAUUUAUUACUCAAUAACUGUUGCAUGCAUCACUUAUUGCUGAGUGACAAAUAUAAAAUUAACUACUUUUAUUAUUCACUACUCUAAAGGAGAAACAUGGUCUUUAUUGUUUUGAAAAUGUGUGUUUACACUGCAUUAGUGUUCCAGCCAAAAGCUUUAGUAGGUCAAGCUAUAUAAUAAAGUUGUUUCACAAAUCUUA